GGUGGCUCAGUGGUAGAGUACUUGCUUUACAUGCAUGGGACCCUGGGUUCAAUUCCUCAGCACCA
RNAcentral lists this transfer RNA (65 nucleotides) under Dipodomys ordii (Ord's kangaroo rat). It matches the Rfam family "tRNA". Rfam says of the family: Transfer RNA (tRNA) molecules are approximately 80 nucleotides in length. Their secondary structure includes four short double-helical elements and three loops (D, anti-codon, and T loops). Further hydrogen bonds mediate the characteristic L-shaped molecular structure. tRNAs have two regions of fundamental functional importance: the anti-codon, which is responsible for specific mRNA codon recognition, and the 3' end, to which the tRNAs corresponding amino acid is attached (by aminoacyl-tRNA synthetases). tRNAs cope with the degeneracy of the genetic code in two manners: having more than one tRNA (with a specific anti-codon) for a particular amino acid; and 'wobble' base-pairing, i.e. permitting non-standard base-pairing at the 3rd anti-codon position. Lineage: Eukaryota; Metazoa; Chordata; Mammalia; Rodentia; Heteromyidae. The record is from Rfam by way of RNAcentral.